Flavobacterium sp. FPG59 is the source of this 82-nucleotide small RNA. It matches the Rfam family "Flavo-1 RNA". Lineage: Bacteria; Pseudomonadati; Bacteroidota; Flavobacteriia; Flavobacteriales; Flavobacteriaceae. The record is from Rfam.
CCCUAGCCCAGAUGGGAAUGGCAUCCUUUUAUAUCUUGUUUUUUACAAGAUAUAAAAGAUAGAAUGUACAGCUGGAAAAAGC